RNAcentral lists this unclassified non-coding RNA (253 nucleotides) under uncultured Planctomycetia bacterium. Its description in RNAcentral is "contains 16S-23S intergenic spacer region". It matches the Rfam family "Bacterial small subunit ribosomal RNA", at positions 524 to 776 of the family's 1533-position model. The record is from RNAcentral. Lineage: Bacteria; Pseudomonadati; Planctomycetota; Planctomycetia.
GACGAACCGUGCGAACGUUGUUCGGAAUCACUGGGCUUAAAGGGCGCGUAGGCGGGCCUUCAAGUCCGGGGUGAAAUCCUCCCGCCUAACGGGAGAAGAGCCUCGGAUACUGAAGGCCUCGAGGAGGGUAGGGGCAAGCGGAACUAUGGGUGGAGCGGUGAAAUGCAUUGAUAUCCAUAGGAACUCCGGUGGCGAAGGCGGCUUGCUGGACCCUUUCUGACGCUGAGGCGCGAAAGCCAGGGGAGCAAACGGG